Molecule: non-coding RNA, 1785 nt
Organism: Macaca mulatta (Rhesus monkey)
Lineage: Eukaryota; Metazoa; Chordata; Mammalia; Primates; Cercopithecidae
Source: RefSeq, a predicted model, not a curated record
AGGCGUUCUGGGACUCCUCCUGUAGCCUCAGGUUGUCCUCUCGCAGGUGCUGCACCUCCGCCUGAAGGUGGGCUUUGUCUUCUUUUUCCUGGGAGGUAGAGUGAAGUAGAAAAGCUAAGAGGUGUGGCCCCACCUUGCCCAGCUCUUCUGAGAAGUAGCUAUGGACCUGUUUUGAUCUUUUGCCCAUUUCUGUUUUUUGUUCCUCCAAACACCUGUCUAAACAGCCUGGUAGCAGGUGCUAAGACACUCUCAGCUCAGGGAACAGGGCUUCUAGAGAGAUUCAACCUCGCAGGAUUAGCUCUGCAGUCACUGGCAGGUGUGACACAAGGUACAGAGUGCUGCCCUCCCACGGGGACCAACCUGCUGAAAGGCUUCAUCUGGGCCAGAGCCUGGUCCUCCAGCUGAUCACUGUUGGAUGCAGCACUCAAGGGGCGAUGGUUUUCAUCACUAGCAGCAAAAAACGAGGCUCUCUGGACUGGAAAGGAGAGAAGAAACCAUUGAGUAUUUUGGAACCACACCCUGGGCCCUAUCUAUCAAAGUCAACAAGUGGUCUAGUUGACAGUCAUGUCUAGUAUUUCCAGUGCAGGAUGCACUGGAAAUCUUAUUUCCCAGCUCUCACAGGGAAAAAUAUGACUGUUUUAGCUGUAAGAGGAUUGUACCAUUGUAAUUUCCCUUUAAAAAACAUUUGUGAGUCAAUUUCUAGUCCCCCCUCAUCACAGUAGCAUUCUAUGAAAUGUUUCUCUGGAAACAGUCCUUGUGCCAAAUUUCCAGACCAAGGCUUUCCACUCAGCAAUGAAAUAAAUGCAUUCGAGAGCUAGCAUUAUACUUAAAACUUCUUGAAGUAUGUCUUCCACAAGAUUCCUGGACACUCUGGUUGGCUUUAACAUAAAUCCAUACCAGCUGUGUUCCAAAACAUACCAAGUUAAAAUUUAAGCCAAGAAAACUAAAUCAAAUUUAAAAUAAUCUCCUAUUAAAACCCAAAACUUCUACCAUUUGUAUAUGAAGGAGAUUAACCAACAAACUGAAAAAUCAAGUUAGAACUAGGUAUUUCCAUCUGCUAGAUAAACAGCAUGAAGGUAAAAGCAUCCGCUGCUGACCACUCCAUGGUUGCCCGACUUACAGGUUCUGUGGCCUAGUAAAUUUCCCCCCAAAAUUCAAACUUGACUAAAUAGCAAUUUUCAAUUCUCCUAAUUAAGAGCAACAACAACAACAAAAACAGAAAAAAAAAUCACCUGCUAUAAUUUUGUAAAGAAUAAGAACUAUACAUUUUAGAAAGAUCUUUAAAUGUAGAAAAAAGUCAGUCUUCAUUCAAAAAACAAAACAAAAAACCCAGCUGCCAAUCUUAUGUCUACACACACAUACCGCACUACUUUUUCUGUUUUCAUUACAGCAGACAAGAUCAGUACCAGUCUGAGGACCUGCAUUUAAGAACUGCCAGCCUAAAGUGAGCACACGGCCAGCAGGCUGGCAAGGAGACAAUGCAGACAGACAACGUGCUACUGCACACGGAGACGAGGGAGAACGGCAAGGGAGAUGCCCCACAUUUGUCAGGACAGGCACGUGGCCAAGCAGGGCAAGCACUGUGACACUUAGCAACAACGUCUUUGCGACGUGAUGAAAGAUCCUCUCUGGAUACGUGUUCUUUUCAGUCAAGGGACAGCUGGGAUUCCUCUUCCCACUGCCCUUCCCAUAUACAGAGGAGGUGAGGCAUUCAUGUUAUGAAUCCUGUGGAGGAAACACCAGGUGGCAUCUGAUUACAUAAAACGUGCUUAAGUGUCCAGCUUA